Molecule: ribosomal RNA, 440 nt
Filed under: uncultured bacterium
Lineage: Bacteria
Description: partial 16S ribosomal RNA
Rfam family: Bacterial small subunit ribosomal RNA
Source: RNAcentral
CCUACGGGUGACAGCAGUGGGGAAUAUUUCACAAUGGGGGAAACCCUGAUGCAGCGACGCCGCGUGAGCGAUGAAGUAUUUCGGUAUGUAAAGCUCUAUCAGCAGGGAAGAAAAUGACGGUACCUGACUAAGAAGCCCCGGCUAACUACGUGCCAGCAGCCGCGGUAAUACGUAGGGGGCAAGCGUUAUCCGGAUUUACUGGGUGUAAAGGGAGCGUAGACGGAUGUGCAAGCCAGAUGUGAAAGUCCGGGGCUAAACCCCGGGACUGCAUUUGGAACUGUGUGGCUGGAGUGUCGGAGAGGCAGGCGGAAUUCCUAGUGUAGGGGUGAAAUGCGUAGAUAUUAGGAGGAACACCAGUGGCGAAGGCGGCCUGCUGGACUGCAACUGACGUUGAGGCCCGAAAGCGUGGGGAGCAAACAGGAUUAGAUACCCCUGUAGUC